Acyrthosiphon pisum (pea aphid) is the source of this 1092-nucleotide long non-coding RNA. RefSeq lists it as uncharacterized. The record is from RefSeq and is a predicted model, not a curated record. Lineage: Eukaryota; Metazoa; Arthropoda; Insecta; Hemiptera; Aphididae. The transcript is spliced from 2 exons.
AGAUAUUUACAUGAAUUACAAAAAAAAACCGAUGUUUUUUUAAAUAUUUCCGUUUUCCGUAUUUUUUUUAGUUUUUCAAGGUUGAUUUCGAGGUUGAUUUGAAAAACACUUAGCAUUGUAUACCCUUAAAAACCAACUAAAUUCAAUUGACUAUCAGAAACUAUCCUUAAAGUGGAAUAAUAAUAAUUUUUACUGCUCCAAAAAAACACUUAUUUGAAAAGACAAUACAUUCUAAAAAAUUGUAUGAAAUGCAAUUAAACAUUUGUUCAUUAAUAUAUUUAUGUGCAAAAAACACAUAGGUAGGUACAUCACAAAUGUAAUGUUAUAUUGGAUUUUGUAUCUAUCGAUUAUAUACACCUAUCCGGUAGUAACAGUUUAUAAAUAAAUACUGUAUUUAUGUAUCAUACGUAUUUAUUAAUAUUUAAAAGUGAAAUUAUUUUAUACUCUUAGGUAUGUAAGACAAAUGUUGAUCAUCUUAAUUUAAAAAAAAAUUGUUUGGCCCACAGCUGUUUAAAAAAUAUGCAAUAUAAAAUAUAAGAAAUGUCAUCGCAACAACAACUAUACUGCGGCGUCCGUUAAAUUAUACGAGAUGCAGCAAAAUCGCAGUAAUAUUUAAAACAACUAUAACGAUAAAUUUGUAGUUUUGGGAUUACUCGAUUUUAACAAGACUAUAAUAGGUGUAGUAUUACAGUUGUAGGUAUCUACGAACACCAGAUGCACUCAUCGGCGCCGGGAUAUCCACGAGAACAGAUGAAUGAAUUUCCGGUUUUCAUGAAUAUAACAACACAGAAUACAAGUAUAUUAUGUUAGUUGUGUAGACACUAUCCGCCAAAUGCCCCGCAACGACCGCCAAGUGCAAUGCAGCAGGUUCAUCGAUCUCGUGAACGAAGGCCAAGUCGAUGUCACACAUUACCAGGUACUUGCGAUAUUGCACGCGAAUCCAAUGACAGACCGAUGUGUAGGUAUAUACAAGAUAACGGGUAAGCUGUAUACAUUUGAGCAUUUGUUUCAAAAAUACACGUCUAAUAGAGAAAUAUAUAAUCAUGUAGUGUUACUGAAAUAUAUAAUAUACUUGCGGGGUAAGUGCCUAUA